UCAACUCAAAUUUAAACUUAGUUUUAAAUUUUAAAAAUAAAUAUAAAUUCAAAUUUUUAAUUUAAAUUGCUAAUAUAAGUCGUUUUUUUUUAUAUUUCCACCUCUUUAUACAUAAUUAAAGAAUAAAAUUAUAAAACUAUAGUUUUUCGUAUUUCACUUUAUAAACAAUCAAAUAAUCUUACUGAAAAGUCACUUUUGAAAACGUCAUUUUCGCUAAAGUAAUUUUUUUUACUUCAGUCACUUUCGGACAACCAAACAUGUUCUAAAUAAAAUAUAAUUUCAGUGAAGAGCUUUCCAAAAAAAAUCUCUUGGAAGAACCCUGAUUUUCGAGGAAUUCUACACUGUCACACUUGCACCACGUCAUCAAUAACAAGUCAAUAACAUUCCUUCUUUUCAAACAAAAGUACAAUAAAAAUACUUUUUUACAAUCAUGAUGGGACAUAUAUUCUUAAAAUGAUUAAUUUGAUUGGUUUGUUACGCCACGUCACUAAUAUAUCCGUUGCAUUCUAGAAUUUUUUCUGAUCUUCGGCUGCAUUUCAAUUCUAUAUUUACACAAAAAUUAUAAUUUUUUUUUAAUAAAUUUUU
This 585-nucleotide long non-coding RNA is filed under the name Ananas comosus (pineapple). RNAcentral's name for it is "long non-coding RNA (ACOM_LNC018603)". The record is from RNAcentral. Lineage: Eukaryota; Viridiplantae; Streptophyta; Magnoliopsida; Poales; Bromeliaceae.